This 292-nucleotide ribosomal RNA is filed under the name uncultured bacterium. Its description in RNAcentral is "partial 16S ribosomal RNA". It matches the Rfam family "Bacterial small subunit ribosomal RNA", at positions 505 to 796 of the family's 1533-position model. The record is from RNAcentral.
GUGCCAGCAGCCGCGGUAAUACAGAGGGUGCGAGCGUUUAUCGGAAUUACUGGGCGUAAAGGGUGCGUAGGUGGUUCGAUAAGUCAGAUGUGAAAUCCCUGGGCUUAACCUGGGAAUUGCAUUUGAUACUGUCAAACUAGAGUGUGGUAGAGGUAAGCGGAAUUCCCGGUGUAGCGGUGAAAUGCGUAGAUAUCGGGAGGAACAUCAGUGGCGAAGGCGGCUUACUGGACCAACACUGACACUGAGGCACGAAAGCGUGGGUAGCAAACAGGAUUAGAAACCCCAGUAGUCC